This 301-nucleotide ribosomal RNA is filed under the name uncultured bacterium. RNAcentral's name for it is "partial 16S ribosomal RNA". It matches the Rfam family "Bacterial small subunit ribosomal RNA", at positions 509 to 809 of the family's 1533-position model. The record is from RNAcentral.
CAGUAGCCGCGGGAAUACGUAGGGUGCAAGCGUUAAUCGGAAUUACUGGGCGUAAAGCGUGCGCAGGCGGUUAUAUAAGACAGAUGUGAAAUCCCCGGGCUCAACCUGGGAACUGCAUUUGUGACUGUAUAGCUAGAGUACGGCAGAGGGAGAUGGAAUUCCGCGUGUAGCAGUGAAAUGCGUAGAUAUGCGGAGGAACACCGAUGGCGAAGGCAAUCCCCUGGGCCUGUACUGACGCUCAUGCACGAAAGCGUGGGGAGCAAACAGGAUUAGAUACCCCUGUAGUCCCUGUCUCUUAUAA